UUUUAUAGACGACGUGGCGGCUCUGGGUAGGUAGGGGUAGGGGUAGGGGUAGUUAGACCGACGUGGUGCCGCUGACACGACGAGGCGGCUCUGGUCGAGGUAGGGGUCGACGUAGAUAAACCCCAUGCCGCCGCCGUCACGCCGGCCGCCGUCACGCCGGCCGCCGCAGAAAGUAUCGUAUCGUUCUACAGGUGGUUACCGCAGCUCGAGCUACCCCACACACGAGGCGGGCGCGGUACCUUGUUGACGCGGAUAGGUCAGCUCAGCGUCCUAAGCUACUCGCAGGGUUGGUACCGUAAACCGUGGCCGCCGCUACGUGUCGAUCAGCCCCUACGUCGAUCCCGGCUCCACACAAGACUUCGUUGGUCACCGACCCGUACGUCCAGCUACUUUUUUACUAGACAAAAACGAGACGACGUUAAAAUCAAACCCACGGGGAGUGUACAAACUAGAUUAAAUGUCAUACCAAGAAUCCAUGUAUUCUCUAAUUCGUCACACAACAAAACCAACCUAAACCAAGCUUAUAGACUACCAUCGUAAUCCAUCACAUGACGUAUUACUUACCUCAAACAAGUUAAAAUAACUACUAAACUACCAUCGUGAUCCAUCAUUUGACGUUGACCAACCUCAAACAACCUAAAAUAACUACUAAACCACGAUCGUAAUCCAUCAGUUUGUGUCUACCGACCUCGAACAACCCAUAGAAGUCAACGUCACUGAAUACAACACAACAAACCUACUUUCCAACCUAAUGUUUCAAAUUAUACCUAUUACUCCGUAAAAUACUACCGUCUUCCCAUCUAAAGAUCAAACGACUGUCCUGUAACCUCAAAACACCCACACGUUAAAUCUAGCCACACACCCCUAGUCUCUCGUACACGGUAGUAACUCAAAUCCUACCGAACGACGUAAUCGUUCCGAACUGGCGCCUCCUGACAUCGAACAACCCCAAGAGGUAAACGUCACUGAAUAUAACACAAGAAAUCUACUUUUCAACCUAAUGCCUCAAAUUAUGCCUAGAAUACCCUCAAAAUCCAACUACCCCAACCUUAAGAUCAAACGACUAAUCUUUGACUUCAAAACACCGACGCGUUAAACCUAACCACAUACCCGUAACACCUCAGACACGGUACUAACUUAAAUACUCCUUUUAAACAGCGGACAACAACAAUAACCAUAUCUAACUAUCACAAUAACUAAUGCGAGCUAGCUAACCCACCCAAUCUGAUUAUAAAAAACGACGUUUUUGUAAAAAAUUAUAUAGCGACUAGUCGUCGACGCAACCUAACAAACAGUACAUACAACUCAUCUCAGUAACCGUCCAGCUAGCAAAAAUGUUGUGGAAGGACGCUCAUUCUGCGGUAUAAAAAUACAUUCCGCCCCUCUACUACAUUAACCAACAAUGAAUAGGCCAAUUAAUACAUUAACGUUUAGAACCGCAAAUUUGACAUACCACGCACACACCGACGACACUUGUACUUUUUAAGGACAGAACGAAAGGCACACACCUACUAGAUUGCCAAAAGUAGGUAAAAAAACACAGAGAAAAAAACUCUACUAAUAGGUCCCACUCCUAGCCCUUUCGGGGCCUCCUUUCCCUCUACUUGGGUUUAUCCUUUAGUUGAGAACUUAACAGAGACGCGCGAAUACGACUAUUCUUCCUACCGGGACAAGAGACAGGUUCAUAACCUUGUUCGAAACUGAGAUAACUGCUCCGAAUACUCAAGAUGUUAGAAAUAAGUACCCUUACACCAAAACCUCAAUCCGAGCGCUUUUCAUCUGACUUACAGCUCUCCUUCUCUACGUACGUUCUCUAGCACACACGAACACGUCCGUUUGGUUAGUCCCUUUUGUCGGCGAGCAGGUCCACACCGACGUUGCGGUACUAUUCUGACAACGCCAGUUUACUGUUUCCCACCAUAUAACGUCUUGUGUUUCUACGGGUAUUAGUGGGCGACAGAAACUGCACACCCGUCUUCGACGUGACCUUCAAAGUAUCUGUAUAUCUAUCUAUGUGGUUCCUAGAUCACUUUGUCAACUCUCUGUUAUUACACCCCGAACCUUUCCACAAGUCAUAGCAACCAUCAAAAAAGCCAAGUCAUCUAUUACACGGUAAAUGCUUCUCCAGCAACUUCUGCGAGACAGCCUUUGAUUUGUUUCUCGUCAGACUGUACCUACGUUACUUCUACUACCUCUAAGACAGACUCUACUUCCGAUUACUAGGACUAAAGUUAAUGUGUCACGUUCACCUAUUCCUCUCGGCACAUUUUUGUGACUACACCCAUUGUUCGUUUCCAGAACUAGUCAUGUCCACGAAACCUCUACGUUAAUGAAAACUAUGUUGCAUGGCGUGGUUAGAUAUACUAUACGGAAAGCCAGAAAACAACCUCAAUUGUUAGUGAAAGUUUCGUAUUAAAAACCACCACGUUACUACUCCCUACUCUUUCUCCUGUGUAAGUUCACCUAUAAAUCCCUCAAGUAGGCGUACCAACCGUCCUUUGUGGGCAUCUGCUAAGAAUGACUGGUGCGCGCACGAUACCUCGACCGAUAACGCCGUCUUGAUGGUUUGUGUCAUGUGGCAACCACAUUCACCGUGUAAAACUUCUUCCGCUUCCUCAGCUACCCACACGAGACCUCGUUCCUGUCAUUUAAAUUCUACCUCAAGGUGUUCGAAGAUGUAGUGUACUAGUGUUUCCUUCUUAAACUUCGACCAACCGUCCUGUACAACCUUUUAAUGUUGAACUCCUUCGUAGGUAAGGACUGCGUCUAUAUGCUCCACGCCGUAUUCACCCGUUUCGGUAUAAAGUCUCCGCACAAAACACGUUUCUACUGAUCGUGUGUUGCUUCGCUUUCACGAUUGGUAGACGACUUCCCAAUACAAGGUGGCCCCACGGGAUACGUGGAAAAGAACUUUGUUAAGCUUUUCGAAGUCAAACUGUCCCGCAGUCUUCUCUCGAAGGUUCUCUUCUCCUUUAACGAUUCACCACAGAGUGAAGCUGAUUUGGACGGUUAUCUCUCCGUACGAUCGUUCCACAUGUGGGCUCGGUACAAGCUCUUUAAACCACUUCUUGACAUAUUUACACCGCGUGUACACAACCUACUCUAACAUGGCUCUUUCUAAAUGUUUAGUUGUGUAAAUCUACACCGCCGUUCUCUUUUUACCUCAUUCCAUCUCAAGUUCUAACUUCACUUACUACUGUUCUCAAAAAAAUCAACGCUUACACCGUGUAAACUUGUGAGACCGAACCACACAACGGUACGUAACGUCCAAUACCACAACAAGGCAAAUAGCUUCUAUGGGCUCUUUGUAUAUUACUUUGCUACCUGUUCUCUACGUGCUCUACAAGAAGGUCGUGUAAACCAUGCCAUGGUUUCUCUGUCUCCGGGAGGAAGAUCACUGUGUAAGUCCGUAGUGUGUUACAUGUACUUCCGCGAACUUACACACAACGAACCACUAUCAUUACAAUUCACGAUACUACAAAAGUACCGAUACUACUUCCUCCACGUUCGGCGAGAGCACGGCAAUUCGUCACUAUUCCUACCGUACCCUGAUCGGCUUUCCCUUGUUGUUUUAGUCAACGAACAAGUCUUGCUCGUUCUCCGUGAGCUCAACGUUCCGACACGCUGUCCCAGACUCACACUACCACUUAGUUCAACAAGUCACUAACGUCCUGUCGUCUUGUUUGCCGGCUCCCCAUCUGGAUGUUGUUCGACACUGUUUCGAGGCAUACUUCUUGUAAACUUCUCUAGCGCCAAGACGUGCUAGACGUCCCCAGUCCCGGUGUUUACGUGUUGAACGGGUCUCUCUCCGCUAGACGGGUUCCGCGGUUCCUUUAACGGUUUCACAAGUUUAACACCACACGAACCUGUGUCCGCGUUACGAACACCGUGGUUCUUUAGAUCCGGCAAGCUCGGGUUAAAAGACAUUCGCUGUGACGACAUGUGACACACAAGUCAAAGUAGAAGCGGUCCUGGUUCUAGACGCAUGCCUAAACAGUAGAUUUGCGCCCAUAAAGCAUGAAUUGUAAUCGCCACUACAUUAAAUUACAAAAGAUAUCGGACGUUUAGACACGAAACGCACACGCUGUCGAACGACAACGACUACAACACUAAACAUCUGUUCCGACGUUAGAUACCCUAUAGUAAAAAUAAAACCACUCG
This 4161-nucleotide ribosomal RNA is filed under the name Triticum aestivum (bread wheat). RNAcentral describes it as "partial small subunit ribosomal RNA". Lineage: Eukaryota; Viridiplantae; Streptophyta; Magnoliopsida; Poales; Poaceae. The record is from RNAcentral.